Molecule: ribosomal RNA, 490 nt
Filed under: Enterococcus faecalis
Lineage: Bacteria; Bacillati; Bacillota; Bacilli; Lactobacillales; Enterococcaceae
Description: bacterial SSU rRNA
Rfam family: Bacterial small subunit ribosomal RNA
Source: RNAcentral
AACGCUUCUUUCCUCCCGAGUGCUUGCACUCAAUUGGAAAGAGGAGUGGCGGACGGGUGAGUAACACGUGGGUAACCUACCCAUCAGAGGGGGAUAACACUUGGAAACAGGUGCUAAUACCGCAUAACAGUUUAUGCCGCAUGGCAUAAGAGUGAAAGGCGCUUUCGGGUGUCGCUGAUGGAUGGACCCGCGGUGCAUUAGCUAGUUGGUGAGGUAACGGCUCACCAAGGCCACGAUGCAUAGCCGACCUGAGAGGGUGAUCGGCCACACUGGGACUGAGACACGGCCCAGACUCCUACGGGAGGCAGCAGUAGGGAAUCUUCGGCAAUGGACGAAAGUCUGACCGAGCAACGCCGCGUGAGUGAAGAAGGUUUUCGGAUCGUAAAACUCUGUUGUUAGAGAAGAACAAGGACGUUAGUAACUGAACGUCCCCUGACGGUAUCUAACCAGAAAGCCACGGCUAACUACGUGCCAGCACGCGCGGUAAUAA